GGGAGGUAUGUGAAAUUAUCCUAAGCUUUUAUGAUCAGGCGAGAUUGCCGUUGUUAUGGGCAGGGUGAUGAGUACGACGAGGAAACUAGACGGAGGAGAGAAGAGGAGAGAAGAAUAGCUGAGAAGCUAAAGCAUGAGUUUCCCAGGAUUCUUGCCAUGUUGGCGGCGAUGGCCGCAAAAGUAACCGCUGAAGCCAAUGCUAAAGACGAACCUCCUUUUAGAUAGGAUCAGAGUACUAAAAAAGUAUCUUGGGACAAUAGCUCUAACAACGAUUCAUGUGGUGGUUACACGGCGCAUAGUUUGCAGAAAUUAUUUGGGAGAUUUGGAGAGGUUGAGGACGUUUUAGUGAGCAAGAAGAAGAAAGAAGAAUGGGAAUGGGGGAUGUUCGGCUCUAGUUGUGAUGGCUCACAAGGAUCAGCUGUCGCUGCCUGCUGGACUGUGCUGGGUGAUUUGUCCAAUCCUUUGAUGGUUCAGCCACUGGAUUCCACCCCUCCCCCUCCUCCCCCCACCUGGCAAUCAUAGUAAAUUUGAAGAAUUGGUCCUUGCUAAGCUGAAACAGGCAAAAGGCAGAGUUAAUUAUGUGACAGCAUGUAUGUACUCCUGUCCAAUCAAAGCCUUUGUGGUUUUUUGCGAUCUCUUAUGCUGAACCUUUUUACUCUUUAUUCCAUUGUUGUAAAUAAACUAGUUGAAUCUUGCUGAUUCUGAUUCCAUCGUGUAGCUAUCAGUUCCAUUUUCUUUCUGACCCCUGUAUUCAGCUUAUAUUAUAAUUUCCAUUUGGAGUAGAAUUGUUUUCUUUCAGCAGUCUUUUAGACCUCAAAGAAGGCAAGGAGUAGGCUGCUAGUUUAUUGGUGAUAAUUAAGUUGGUAGAAGUGUAAUACGUAAGACUGAUGCCUACUGAGCUUGAAAAGAUAAAAUUUCGGAAAGGAAAUAUUUUCAAGAGUAGAGGAGAUCCUGUAGCAACUAUAUUAAUAGGAAAUAUAUCUAGAAUGUCGACUUGAGACUUGGAGUACACCUAUGUGGAAAGCAGCUAUACCAUUCAUAGGAAAGGCAAAAACUUGGGUAGACCUGACCUUUGUAGACCUAGUGCCUUAAUUGUGCCACAUCUUUAAUACUUGAGUUGGUGAGAUGGUGUGGCAAAUUUUGAGCCGCUAGGUCUUUACAGACCGAGUCUACCCAAGUGUUUGUCCAUAUGAAAAGGGAGUAAAGCUGAAAAUUACAGCAAUUGCAACUUGUGUUGCUCCCAUGGUUUAGUCUGCAUUGAGCGGAAGAACAAAUCUUUUCAGCAAAAUUGGGGGCUAGAGGCCUUCAGUUUUCACUAGCCCAGUAAACUUUUCUCUGUUAUUUGUUGUUUGCCCUAAUGCUCUUUUCUGUUGAAUGAUUUAGUUGAUUCAUAUGUGAUGGGAUGAUGUAGAUGUUGACUUGUCUUCUAAGCAUGCUUAGUCUGGAUCGGAUGUUUCGUUCCAGUGUUGCAACUUGAGUAUUCUUCAGUUAAUUCCCUCGUACUUGCAUAAGUUGCAUUAGCAAAGCAUGUGGUCAGGACGAUUCAAUUGAAUACUUUCAUUGUGGAUUGUGAAAGGAUUCAGGGAAUGAAACUGAACUUUUUUUUAAAGGAGAUGAAGUAGAGACUCC
RNAcentral lists this long non-coding RNA (1629 nucleotides) under Coffea arabica (coffee). RNAcentral describes it as "long non-coding RNA (CARA_LNC005301)". Lineage: Eukaryota; Viridiplantae; Streptophyta; Magnoliopsida; Gentianales; Rubiaceae. The record is from RNAcentral.